Molecule: ribosomal RNA, 465 nt
Filed under: Vreelandella stevensii
Lineage: Bacteria; Pseudomonadati; Pseudomonadota; Gammaproteobacteria; Oceanospirillales; Halomonadaceae
Description: partial 16S ribosomal RNA
Rfam family: Bacterial small subunit ribosomal RNA
Source: RNAcentral
CCUACGGGGGGCUGCAGUGGGGAAUAUUGGACAAUGGGGGGAACCCUGAUCCAGCCAUGCCGCGUGUGUGAAGAAGGCCCUCGGGUUGUAAAGCACUUUCAGUGAGGAAGAACGCCUGGUGGUUAAUACCCAUCAGGAAAGACAUCACUCACAGAAGAAGCACCGGCUAACUCCGUGUCAGCAGCCGCGGCAAUACGGAGGGUGCGAGCGUUAAUCGGAAUUACUGGGCGUAAAGCGCGCGUAGGUGGCUUGAUAAGCCGGUUGUGAAAGCCCCGGGCUCAACCUGGGAACGGCAUCCGGAACUGUCAAGCUAGAGUGCAGGAGAGGAAGGUAGAAUUCCCGGUGUAGCGGUGAAAUGCGUAGAGAUCGGGAGGAAUACCAGUGGCGAAGGCGGCCUUCUGGACUGACACUGACACUGAGGUGCGAAAGCGUGGGUAGCAAACAGGAUUAGAUACCCUUGUAGUC